Molecule: ribosomal RNA, 465 nt
Filed under: uncultured bacterium
Lineage: Bacteria
Description: partial 16S ribosomal RNA
Rfam family: Bacterial small subunit ribosomal RNA
Source: RNAcentral
ACGCACGCUGGCGGCGUGCUUAACACCUGCCAGUCGAACGGAAAGGCCCUGCUUUUGUGGGGUGCUCGAGUGGCGAACGGGUGAGUAACACGUGAGUAACCUGCCCUUGACUUUGGGAUAACUUCAGGAAACUGGGGCUAAUACCGGAUAGGAGCUCCUGCUGCAUGGUGGGGGUUGGAAAGUUUCGGCGGUUGGGGAUGGACUCGCGGCUUAUCAGCUUGUUGGUGGGGUAGUGGCUUACCAAGGCUUUGACGGGUAGCCGGCCUGAGAGGGUGACCGGCCACAUUGGGACUGAGAUACGGCCCAGACUCCUACGGGAGGCAGCAGUGGGGAAUAUUGCACAAUGGGCGGAAGCCUGAUGCAGCAACGCCGCGUGCGGGAUGACGGCCUUCGGGUUGUAAACCGCUUUCGCCUGUGACGAAGCGUGAGUGACGGGAAUGGGUAAAGAAGCACCGGCUAACGACG